UUGUCGCCUGUUUUUCAAAAACAUUUCUUUUAGAACAGGAAUUAAAGGUAGGGCCUGCCCCCUGCUCAGUAAAGGGCCGCAGUAUUCUGACUGUGCAAAGGUAGCAUAAUCAUUUGUUUCUUAAUUAGAAGCUGGAAUGAAAGGUUUAAUAAAGGAUAUUUUUAUAGAGAAAUAUAAUUGAAGUUAAUUUUAAUAUAAAAAAGUAUUAAUAUUUUUAUGGGACGAUAAGACCCUAUUAAGCUUAGAUAUUAACUUAAUAACUUUAAAAGAUAAGUUAGGGAGAAAAUAUUGUACUGGGGCGGUAGAAUUAACAUAAAAGAAAGGAGAAAAUUAGGAGCCAAUAAUAUUGCUAAAUAGAAAAAGUUACUAUAGGGAUAACAGCAUAAUUUCUUUUAAGAGAUCUUAUCAAUAAAGAAAGUUUAUGACCUCGAUGUUGAAUUAAUUUUACCUUAGGAUGAAGAUGUUUUAAAGGCUAGUCUGUUCGACUAAUAAAAAGUUACACGACCGGAGUUCAA
Molecule: ribosomal RNA, 515 nt
Filed under: Giljarovia tenebricosa
Lineage: Eukaryota; Metazoa; Arthropoda; Arachnida; Opiliones; Nemastomatidae
Description: partial large subunit ribosomal RNA
Rfam family: Bacterial large subunit ribosomal RNA
Source: RNAcentral